This 852-nucleotide ribosomal RNA is filed under the name Bacillus pumilus. Its description in RNAcentral is "bacterial SSU rRNA". It matches the Rfam family "Bacterial small subunit ribosomal RNA", at positions 77 to 914 of the family's 1533-position model. Lineage: Bacteria; Bacillati; Bacillota; Bacilli; Caryophanales; Bacillaceae. The record is from RNAcentral.
AGCUUGCUCCCGGAUGUUAGCGGCGGACGGGUGAGUAACACGUGGGUAACCUGCCUGUAAGACUGGGAUAACUCCGGGAAACCGGAGCUAAUACCGGAUAGUUCCUUGAACCGCAUGGUUCAAGGAUGAAAGACGGUUUCGGCUGUCACUUACAGAUGGACCCGCGGCGCAUUAGCUAGUUGGUGGGGUAAUGGCUCACCAAGGCGACGAUGCGUAGCCGACCUGAGAGGGUGAUCGGCCACACUGGGACUGAGACACGGCCCAGACUCCUACGGGAGGCAGCAGUAGGGAAUCUUCCGCAAUGGACGAAAGUCUGACGGAGCAACGCCGCGUGAGUGAUGAAGGUUUUCGGAUCGUAAAGCUCUGUUGUUAGGGAAGAACAAGUGCGAGAGUAACUGCUCGCACCUUGACGGUACCUAACCAGAAAGCCACGGCUAACUACGUGCCAGCAGCCGCGGUAAUACGUAGGUGGCAAGCGUUGUCCGGAAUUAUUGGGCGUAAAGGGCUCGCAGGCGGUUUCUUAAGUCUGAUGUGAAAGCCCCCGGCUCAACCGGGGAGGGUCAUUGGAAACUGGGAAACUUGAGUGCAGAAGAGGAGAGUGGAAUUCCACGUGUAGCGGUGAAAUGCGUAGAGAUGUGGAGGAACACCAGUGGCGAAGGCGACUCUCUGGUCUGUAACUGACGCUGAGGAGCGAAAGCGUGGGGAGCGAACAGGAUUAGAUACCCUGGUAGUCCACGCCGUAAACGAUGAGUGCUAAGUGUUAGGGGUUUCCGCCCCUUAGUGCUGCAGCUAACGCAUUAAGCACUCCGCCUGGGGAGUACGGUCGCAAGACUGAAACUCAAAGGAAUUGAC